Molecule: unclassified non-coding RNA, 261 nt
Filed under: plant metagenome
Description: partial contains small subunit ribosomal RNA, internal transcribed spacer 1, and 5.8S ribosomal RNA
Rfam family: 5.8S ribosomal RNA (bases 213-261)
Source: RNAcentral
UUUCCGUAGGUGAACCUGCGGAAGGAUCAUUAUUGAAUGAAACACUUCUGGCUUUAUGCUGUUGUGCUGGCCCUUUGGGCAAUGUGCACACGGCUCUGGUCACUUGUUUCUUCUGUUCCACCUGUGCACUGCCUGUAGACACGCUGUGUCUAUGAUAUUUGUUAACACACAACAAUGUUAGUUGGCAUGUUAUAUAUAAUAAUAAAAUAUACAACUUUCAACAACGGAUCUCUUGGCUCUCGCAUCGAUGAAAAACGCAGC